UGAAAGCAUCUAAGCGGGAAACUCGCCUUGAGAUAAGAUUUCCCUAGGCUUUAAGCCUUCUAAAGAGUCGUUCGAGACCAGGACGUUGAUAGGUUGGGUGUGGAAGCGCAGUAAUGCGUUAAGCUAACCAAUACUAAUUGCUCGUGAGGCUUGAUCCUAUAACAUUA
This 167-nucleotide ribosomal RNA is filed under the name Gallionellales bacterium RIFOXYD2_FULL_52_7. Its description in RNAcentral is "partial 23S ribosomal RNA". It matches the Rfam family "Bacterial large subunit ribosomal RNA", at positions 2772 to 2925 of the family's 2925-position model. The record is from RNAcentral. Lineage: Bacteria; Pseudomonadati; Pseudomonadota; Betaproteobacteria; Nitrosomonadales.